UGCGCGGAGCCCUGCGUGGCGCGGGCCGCGUGGGCGAGGUGCUGGCAGAGAGGCCACGCGGGCUCCCCCAGACCUGGGCACCGAGCUCACGGCUCAGCUCCCUGCCAGCCCGCGCCAAGGCAGAAGUCCGGGCCCCUCAUCAGCUUGUCCCAAGAGAGAGCGGCACAUCGGGUCCACUGGGGACCCCUCACAAGUGUUCCAAUGCCUCUCCAUCAGGGGGACUUCCCACAGCUGCGAGGGUUUCUGGUCGGCUGGUUCCUCUCGCCCAGCCUGUGGCGUGCCUUGGCCCCCACGGUUCCGUCUGCCCUGACCUCACUCAAAGGCGACUGUUCCACCGAGACAGGGCGUUGGCAGCCCUGACGGCUGAUGACAUCCGCAGAGCCCGUGAGGCCAGGCAGAAGAUCGGCUCUGAGGAGCCGACCCGGGCCCCGAGGCAGAAGCUGAGCGCCCGAGCCCGGGAGAGGACGGUGCCCACAUCGCGCGUCGGCCCGCCCCCCCCGCUCCGGGGG
Pelodiscus sinensis (Chinese soft-shelled turtle) is the source of this 509-nucleotide non-coding RNA. The record is from RefSeq and is a predicted model, not a curated record. Lineage: Eukaryota; Metazoa; Chordata; Testudines; Trionychidae.